CACUUAGAAGCUCUUUAGAGCUUUGAAUUUUUAAUUCAAAGGAGAAUUAAAUUAAUUCCUUAGUGA
Molecule: transfer RNA, 66 nt
Filed under: Trichophilopterus babakotophilus
Lineage: Eukaryota; Metazoa; Arthropoda; Insecta; Psocodea; Philopteridae
Description: tRNA-Lys
Source: RNAcentral